UUGUACCGAAAAUAUGGAAAUUCGAAGAGAGAUAGAGAGAGAGUGA
RNAcentral lists this small RNA (46 nucleotides) under Caenorhabditis elegans. RNAcentral's name for it is "Unclassified non-coding RNA C38H2.4". Lineage: Eukaryota; Metazoa; Nematoda; Chromadorea; Rhabditida; Rhabditidae. The record is from RNAcentral.